GACGAACGCUGGCGGCGUGCUUAACACAUGCAAGUCGAACGGAAAGGCCCUGCUUUUGUGGGGUGCUCGAGUGGCGAACGGGUGAGUAACACGUGAGUAACCUGCCCUUGACUUUGGGAUAACUUCAGGAAACUGGGGCUAAUACCGGAUAGGAGCUCCUGCUGCAUGGUGGGGGUUGGAAAGUUUCGGCGGUUGGGGAUGGACUCGCGGCUUAUCAGCUUGUUGGUGGGGUAGUGGCUUACCAAGGCUUUGACGGGUAGCCGGCCUGAGAGGGUGACCGGCCACAUUGGGACUGAGAUACGGCCCAGACUCCUACGGGAGGCAGCAGUGGGGAAUAUUGCACAAUGGGCGGAAGCCUGAUGCAGCAACGCCGCGUGCGGGAUGACGGCCUUCGGGUUGUAAACCGCUUUCGCCUGUGACGAAGCGUGAGUGACGGUAAUGGGUAAAGAAGCACCGGCUAACUACGUGCCAGCAGCCGCGGUGAUACGUAGGGUGCGAGCGUUGUCCGGAUUUAUUGGGCGUAAAGGGCUCGUAGGUGGUUGAUCGCGUCGGAAGUGUAAUCUUGGGGCUUAACCCUGAGCGUGCUUUCGAUACGGGUUGACUUGAGGAAGGUAGGGGAGAAUGGAAUUCCUGGUGGAGCGGUGGAAUGCGCAGAUAUCAGGAGGAACACCAGUGGCGAAGGCGGUUCUCUGGGCCUUUCCUGACGCUGAGGAGCGGAAGCGUGGGGAGCGAACAGGCUUAGAUACCCUGGUAGUCCACGCUGUAAACGGUGGGUACUAGGUGUGGGGUCCAUUCCACGGGUUCCGUGCCGUAGCUAACGCUUUAAGUACCCCGCCUGGGGAGUACGGCCGCAAGGCUAAGACUCAAAGGAAUUGACGGGGCCCCGCACAAGCGGCGGAGCAUGCGGAUUAAUUCGAUGCAACGCGUAGAACCUUACCUGGGUUUGACAUGGAUCGGGAGUGCUCAGAGAUGGGUGUGCCUCUUUUGGGGUCGGUUCACAGGUGGUGCAUGGCUGUCGUCAGCUCGUGUCGUGAGAUGUUGGGUUAAGUCCCACAACGAGCGCAACCCUUGUUCACUGUUGCCAGCACGUUAUGGUGGGGACUCAGUGGAGACCGCCGGGGUCAACUCGGAGGAAGGUGGGGAUGACGUCAAGUCAUCAUGCCCCUUAUGUCCAGGGCUUCACGCAUGCUACAAUGGCUGGUACAGAGAGUGGCGAGCCUGUGAGGGUGAGCGAAUCUCGGAAAGCCGGUCUCAGUUCGGAUUGGGGUCUGCAACUCGACCUCAUGAAGUCGGAGUCGCUAGUAAUCGCAGAUCGGCAACGCUGCGGUGAAUACGUUCCCGGGGCU
RNAcentral lists this ribosomal RNA (1346 nucleotides) under uncultured bacterium. RNAcentral's name for it is "partial 16S ribosomal RNA". It matches the Rfam family "Bacterial small subunit ribosomal RNA", at positions 28 to 1381 of the family's 1533-position model. The record is from RNAcentral.